UACGGAGGGUGCAAGCGUUACUCGGAAUUACUGGGCGUAAAGAGUGUGUAGGCGGUUUGGUAAGUCGGGUGUGAAAUCCCUGGGCUCAACCCAGGAACUGCGCUUGAUACUGCCAGACUUGAGUACGAGAGAGGGUAGUAGAAUUCCCGGUGUAGAGGUGAAAUUCGUAGAUAUCGGGAGGAAUACCGGUGGCGAAGGCGGCUACCUGGAUCGAUACUGACGCUGAGACACGAAAGCAUGGGGAG
RNAcentral lists this ribosomal RNA (245 nucleotides) under uncultured bacterium. Its description in RNAcentral is "partial 16S ribosomal RNA". It matches the Rfam family "Bacterial small subunit ribosomal RNA", at positions 524 to 768 of the family's 1533-position model. The record is from RNAcentral.